RNAcentral lists this ribosomal RNA (398 nucleotides) under uncultured bacterium. RNAcentral's name for it is "partial 16S ribosomal RNA". It matches the Rfam family "Bacterial small subunit ribosomal RNA", at positions 523 to 918 of the family's 1533-position model. The record is from RNAcentral.
AUACGUAGGGCGCGAGCGUUGUCCGGAAUUACUGGGCGUAAAGAGCUCGUAGGUGGUUUGUCGCGUCGUCUGUGAAAUUCCGGGGCUUAACUCCGGGCGUGCAGGCGAUACGGGCAUAACUUGAGUACUGUAGGGGAGACUGGAAUUCCUGGUGUAGCGGUGAAAUGCGCAGAUAUCAGGAGGAACACCGGUGGCGAAGGCGGGUCUCUGGGCAGUAACUGACGCUGAGGAGCGAAAGCAUGGGUAGCGAACAGGAUUAGAUACCCUGGUAGUCCAUGCCGUAAACGGUGGGCGCUAGGUGUAGGGGUCUUCCACGACUUCUGUGCCGUAGCUAACGCAUUAAGCGCCCCGCCUGGGGAGUACGGCCGCAAGGCUAAAACUCAAAUGAAUUGACGGGG